RNAcentral lists this ribosomal RNA (416 nucleotides) under uncultured bacterium. Its description in RNAcentral is "bacterial SSU rRNA". It matches the Rfam family "Bacterial small subunit ribosomal RNA", at positions 362 to 776 of the family's 1533-position model. The record is from RNAcentral.
UAUUGGUCAAUGGUCGGGAGACUGAACCAGCCAAGCCGCGCGAGGGAGGAAGGUACAGAGUAUCGUAAACCUCUUUUGUCAGGGAACAAAGACUGGGACGCGUCCCCGGAUGAGUGUACCUGAAGAAAAAGCAUCGGCUAACUCCGUGCCAGCAGCCGCGGUAAUACGGAGGAUGCGAGCGUUAUCCGGAUUUAUUGGGUUUAAAGGGUGCGCGGGCGGCCUGUUAAGUCAGCGGUAAAAGCCCGGGGCUCAACCCCGGCGAGCCGUUGAAACUGGCGGGCUGGAGUUGGAGAGAAGUACGCGGAAUGCGCGGUGUAGCGGUGAAAUGCUUAGAUAUCGCGCAGAACCCCGAUUGCGAAGGCAGCGUACCGGCUCCACACUGACGCUGAGGCACGAAAGCGUGGGUAUCGAACAGG